UGAGCAAAAAUCCCAGAACCACACGGGGGGACCUAGUGAAUGACCUGCAGAGAGCUGGGACCAAAGUAACAAAGCCUACCAUCAGCAAGGGCAUUGAAGAUGAAACGUGGCUGGGUCUUUCAGCAUGACAAUGAUCCCAAACACACCGCCCUUGGCAAUGAAGGAGUGGCUUCGUAAGAAGCAUUUCAAAGUCCUGGAGUGGCCUAGCCAAUCUCCAGAUCUCAACCCCAUAGAAAAUCUUUGGAGGGAGUUAAAAGUCUGUGUUGCCCAGCAACAGCCCCAAAACAUCACUGCUCUAGUGAAGAUCUGCAUGGAGGAAUGGGCCAAAAUAUCAGCAACAGUGUGUGAAAACCUUGUGAAGACUUACAGAAAACGUUUGACCUCUGUCAUUGCCAACAAAGGGUAUAUAACAAAGUAUUGAGAUAAACUUUUGUUAUUGACCAAAUACUUAUUUUCCACCAUAAUUUGCAAAUAAAUUCAUAAAAAAUCCUACAAUGUGAUUUUUUCUCAUUUUGUCUGUCAUAGUUGAAGUGUACCUAUGAUGUAAAUUACAGGCCUCUCUCAUCUUUUUAAGUGGGAGAACAUGCACAAUUGGUGGCUGACUAAAUACUUUUUUGCCCCACUAUAUAUCCCUGUUAAAUGUAAUACUAUUUAAAUAAAAAAACUUCUAAUAGUCAAACAAAGCCAAAACAAAUGCUAACCAUAUCAAAUCCUUCCUAUGCUAAUAAGCUCUUUCCUUCAGGGCUCCACAGUAUUUUAUCUGACAAUAACAUGAGUUAAUAAAUUCUGGUUUUGCAAGCCGAAGGGUUAUUAAGGGUGGGAUAUAGUAAGUUCUGUUAGAUAGGACAGUUGUUUUGCACAAAUAGGAUAGCCAUUAAUUCAAAAGACAUACCUAAAUAAAGUUUUAACCUAAGUAGUCUGUCUACCUGUAUAUAGGAAGUAGUCUGACUAUGAAAAGUAGCAGAUAGAUAUAUUAAAACAGGUGAGGAUAAAUUAGGCUUGGUGAGAAGGCAGGGUAAUCCUAGGCGAACGGAAUGACUGAACCUAUUCAAUACUGAAAGAAAUAAUAUCCAAAAGAGUGGGAGGGACACUUAAAAUAGCAAAGUGAGAUUUGGAUAAAUACAACCCGAGUUUAACCAGGGAUGUAGGUCCCCUGGGUAAUAACUGAUAGAUGUGGAAGUGAGAUCUAAUGUCCAGUCGAUAGCAACGCUAUAGAUACGUUUCCAGGGAAGAGAAUCGCAUAAAUCCAUACACAUAGAUUGUAACUAGGUAACGGUAAACAGCACAUACAUAGAUCAUAGAAAUAUAUACACUUAGAUUGUGACAGUGUAGAAAGAGAGGAUCUGAAUCCCCUAAUGGAAUUACCCAAUCCCCAGGCGGGGGAGGGUGAUCAUGACAGUGGAGCGCGGGACCUGUGGAGCCAUUCAGAGCAAAAAUGACAGAAUGUGCUAAACUAACGGAACAUUACCACCGACACGCAAACUUGUCUAAGGUAACUGAAUACAGACAGGGAGAAAGUGAGACAGUCAGUCAGUACCUAGAACGUUUAAAAUAUGUAUUCAAUGCUAACAGUGGUACGCUAGAAGCAGCCCCCGGGGGUGAUCAAAAUACCCCUUAUCAUGAGUAACUAAAAAUAGCCUUUGGAACUGGAAUGCGCGUUGAAAUCUGUAAGGAGGUGAAAAAUAAUUUAGUGGGGUGGGGGUUGGCAACUCUAGCGGAGGUAAAAAGAUAUGCUGUCCACCAUGAACAGCACGGAGAGGCAGUCAAAAGAAAAAUAUCAAAUGUUUUAAUUGUAACAAAACUGGACAUUUCGCCCGGAAGUGUAACACUCCCUGCAAACGUCACCACCGAGAUUGUAAUUUAACUGAGGGGGAGAAUCUUGGUAAUGUACAUAGCAUUGGUGGUUCAGUGGUGAGUGUCAGCCAUUGCGCUAACUGAAAUGAUCUGAGCCCUAAGACCAUGCGUCAGGACUACCUGGCAUGAUGACUCCUUGCUGUCCCCAGUCCACCUGGCCUUGCUGCUGUUCCAGUUUCAACUGUUCUGCCUGCGGCUAUGGAACCCUAAACUGUUCAUUUUUACUCUCGAGGUGCUGUCCUGUUGCACCCUCUACAACCACUGUGAUCUCCACCCGGCACAGCCAGAAGAGGACUGGCCACCCCUCAUAGCCUGGUUCCUCUCUAGUUUUCUUCCUAGGUUCUUGCCUUUCUAGGGAGUUUUUCCUAGCCACCGUGCUUCUACACCUGCAUUGCUUGCUGUUUGGGGUUUUAGGCUAUAUAAAUUGAUUUGAUUUGAUAGAGGACUGAGGGUCUUCCAAAUAUUGAAAGUGUGUAAAUAGUUACCCAUGUUAUUUUGUAAAUGUAUAUAUAUUUUUUUUUCAUAUUUUUUUUAUCAAUAAUUACAUGUUUUCCCCCAACAACAACAAAAAAUCAUUUUUUUCCCUCAUUUUUUUUUUUUUUUUUUUUUGGGGGGGGGGGGGUGUGUUAGAAUACCAUUUUGGUAUUUUGUAUAUAGUUAUUUGUUUCAAAAUGUAUACCUUCACCAAUUUGGCCACUUGAGUACAUUUGGGCUACUUGUGUGGGACACCUGGGUGACUUCAUGAUAAAUGUCAUGUAGCACACUCAUUUUGUUAGUUAUCAUUCUGAAACUUUGCACAAGCACUGUUGCCCUCUUAUGUUUUUCACUGAAAUUGUCCCCAUCAUCAUAUCUGAAUGUUUGUUUUACCUUGUUCAUUUUAAAGAUGAACAAACCUACCCUAGUUAAACUGACUAUCCUACCGAUCCUCGACUUCGGCAAUGUCAUCUACAAAAUAGCUUCCAAUACUCUACUCAGCAAACUGGAUGCAGUUUAUCACAGUGCCAUCUGUUUUGUUACUAAAGCACCUUAUACCACCCACCACUGCGACCUGUAUGCUCUAGUCGGCUGGCCCUCGCUACAUAUUCGUCGCCAGACCCACUGGCUCCAGGUCAUCUACAAGUCCAUGCUAGGUAAAGCUCCACCUUAUCUCAGUUCACUCGUCACGAUGGCAACACCCAUCCGUAGCACGCGCUCCAGCAGGUGUAUCUGACUGAUCAUCCCUAAAGCCAACACCUCAUUUGGCCGCCUUUCGUUCCAGUUCUCUGCUGCCUGUGACUGGAACGAAUUGCAAAAAUCGCGGAAGUUGGAGACUUUUAUCUCCCUCACCAACUUCAAACAUCUGCUAUCUGAGCAGCUAACCGAUCGCUGCAGCUGUACAUAGUCUAUCGGUAAAUAGCCCACCCAUUUUUACCUACCUCAUCCCCAUACUGUUUAUAUUCAUUUACUUUUCUGCUCUUUUGCACACUAAUAUCUCUCUACCUGUACAUGACCAUCUGAUAUAUUAUCACUCCAGUGUUAAUUUGCAAAAUUGUAAUUAUUCGCCUACCUCCUCAUGCCUUUUGCACACAAUGUAUAUCGACUAUUUUCUUUCUACUGUGUUAUUGACUUGUUAAUUGUUUACUCCAUGUGUAACUCUGUGUUGUCUGUUCACACUGCUAUGCUUUAUCUUGGCCAGGUCGCAGUUGCAAAUGAGAACUUGUUCUCAACCAGCCUACCUGGUUAAAUAAGGGUGAAAUAAAAAUACAAAUAAAAUAAAUAAAUAAAAAAAACGUAUGUUUUUUUCCAUUGUUUUAUCUAAA
Oncorhynchus keta (chum salmon) is the source of this 3653-nucleotide long non-coding RNA. RefSeq lists it as uncharacterized. The transcript is spliced from 2 exons. NCBI's taxonomy places the organism in Eukaryota, Metazoa, Chordata, Actinopteri, Salmoniformes, Salmonidae. The record is from RefSeq and is a predicted model, not a curated record.